Molecule: unclassified non-coding RNA, 253 nt
Filed under: uncultured Planctomycetota bacterium
Lineage: Bacteria; Pseudomonadati; Planctomycetota
Description: uncultured planctomycete contains 16S-23S intergenic spacer region
Rfam family: Bacterial small subunit ribosomal RNA
Source: RNAcentral
UACAGAGAUGGCAAGCGUUGUUCGGAUUUACUGGGCAUAAAGGGCACGUAGGCGGAUUGGUAAGUCAGGUGUGAAAUCCCUCGGCUCAACCGAGGAACUGCGCCUGAUACUGUCAGUCUUGAGGGCAGGAGGGGAGAGUGGAACUCUUGGUGGAGCGGUGAAAUGCGUAGAUACCAAGAGGAACGCCGGUGGCGAAAGCGACUCUCUGGCCUGUUUCUGACGCUGAGGUGCGAAAGCGUGGGGAGCAAACAGG